UUUAGCACGGCCCAGUCGUUAGACAUCCUCUGUCGUGGCCGCAUUAGCGUUAGGAAGUUCCCCUGUUGGAUAGAUAGCGUUUUCGCAUUGUCUGGCGGCUCGACAGAUUUUUCCGUUUCCCUUGUUGCGGAUGUGCUUAAUCUGGGAAAGUCAAAGACCAUUCGACAAACAGGGUUUUUUAGAAAGAAGAAACGAUUCUAUUUUCAACGUAACAGAUACAGAAACGAGAAGAGAAAAUUGAGUGAGCAAUAAAGAUGGAGAACGCGAAGGAGGAGACGAUAAACAUGCAGCUGAUCGGUUCCGAGAGCCCGUACAAGGUUAAUAAUGAAAUCGCCGGAAGUGGUCUAAAUGCAUCGGAAGUACCAAUAUCACCGACUGCAAACGUAGAAGACUACGACCCCCAUAAACAUCGAAAUAGGCCAAAUCCAACUUCAAACGCAGAGACCCUGAUACAUUUACUGAAAGGAAGCCUGGGAACCGGAAUUCUGGCAAUGCCGAACGCAUUCUGCAACAGUGGACUUGUUACCGGUGUGAUAGCCACAGUGAUCAUAGGAGUGUUAUGCACUUAUUGCUUGCACGUACUAGUGAAAGCUCAGUACAGACUGUGUAAACGGUUAAGAGUUCCUAUAUUGAGUUAUCCGUUGAGUAUGAAGUACGCUCUCGAGGAAGGUCCAGCGUGUGUCAAAUGGUUCGCGCCGUAUGCACCAGGACUCGUAGACGGGUUCAUGAUAGCGUAUCAAUUGGGAAUAUGCUGCGUUUAUAUCGUAUUUGUAGCGUCGAAUAUCAAGCAGGUGGCAGACCAGUACUGGGAACCUUUGGAUGUUAAAACGCACAUGCUCAUUUUAUUGCUACCGUUGAUUUUGAUCAAUUACGUUAGGAACCUGAAGUUACUGGCGCCGUUCUCCACCCUAGCGAACCUAAUCACGUUCGUUGGUCUGGCUAUGAUCCUGGUUUAUAUGUUCAAAGACUUGCCGCCGAUUAGCGAGAGAGAAAUGUUUGGGACGCUUAGGAACUUCUCUCUUUAUUUCGGGACGACGUUGUUCGCUUUGGAAGCUGUUGGAGUGAUUAUCGCACUGGAGAACAACAUGAAGACCCCACAGUACUUCGGAGGGUACUGCGGUGUUCUGAACAUAGGAAUGACGGUAAUAGUGGCUCUCUACAUUCUUAUGGGGUUCUUCGGUUACGUAAAGUACGGAGACAAGGCUGGCGGCAGUAUUACUUUCAAUUUACGCUCGGACGAAGUGAUGGCACAGAGCAUCAGGAUUAUGUUCGCUAUCGCGAUCUUUAUCACGCAUGCUCUUCAAGGAUACGUCCCUGUCGAAAUUAUAUGGAACACGUAUCUCGAUCAGAAGAUACAGAAACGGAAGAUCUUCUGGGAAUACGUGUGCAGGACUGUCAUCACUUUAAUCACUUUCACACUGGCAGUCGCUGUACCCAGAUUGGGUCUCUUCAUCUCCCUCUUCGGGGCCCUCUGCCUCUCCGCCCUGGGCAUCGCCUUCCCAGCGAUCAUCGAGAUCUGCGUACUGUGGCCAGAGAGAGAAUUCGGUCCAUGCAUGAUCAUGCUAUUAAAGAACAUUUGUCUGAUAGUGUUUGGUCUGCUGGGUCUGGUGAUCGGCACUUACGUCAGCAUCGUCGACAUCGUUAACUCCUUCAAGUGAAGCUUACGUGCGAUCUGGAAGAAACAAUCGAAGGAAGAUAAACGAAGAGAGAGGAGAGUAAGAGGAUGCUAUAUAGGGAACAUGCCGCAGCUUCUCGUCUCAGUUUAGCUUACAGCGGCGAUAUACGAGACGUGCUCCCGAAAUGAUGUCUUCGUGUCUUAAUCUGCUCUUUCAUCUUGAUAGAUCAAGUUACACGUUGUAAUAGUGUCUGAUUUUAACAGACUUGUAUCAUAUAUCAAAUCAAGUAGUGUCUGAUUUGAACAGACUUGUAUCAAAUGUCAAAUCAAGUAGUGUCUGACGUGAUCAAAGUCUAGUGUCAAAUAUCAAAUUACAUAUAGUUCGAUUUCAUCAGACUAGUAUCACAUGUUUGAUGGAACAAAAUAUUACAAUAUCCACACAGCACUUUCCAUUUCAAAUAAAUUAAAUCUUGCCUUUAAAGUUGUAGGAAUAUUGAUAAUGAUCUAUCAGUAUGAUACAGUUUACUGAAACCUGAGAAUAUCAUUUUGGGAGCUUUUCGUGUUAGGUAGACAAGCGUGCAGAGGGUCUUUUAGGGAAAUUGCGAGCGGACUAGCAUUCAGGUAAUGCUUCUCUCGCGCCAUUAUCGCCAUUAGCGCACCUUAAACAGAGUUUUUAGAUGUAUUGUUUAACUACGACCAGGAGUCGUGCAGUGUUGGGCACAAAAUGACAUUGGAUAUAAAUGCAUGUCGGUGGAAAUCAUGUAAUUUGGACUUUGCAUGUGGUUACUCGUGGAGAUAAUCAUUAUACAUGAUGAACUUGACGGACACUUAUAUAUGAUGAACCUGAUGAACAAUUAUAUAUGAUGAAUUUGAUAAAACAUUACAUAUGAUAAACCUGAUGAAUCAUUAUACAUGAUGAACCUAAUGAACUGUUAUAUAUGAUGAAUUUAAUGAACCAUCACAUAUGAUGAACCUGAUGAACUAUUAUAUAUAAUGAUUUCAGUGAACCAUUGUAUACAAUGAACCAGUCAAACCACCACAUUUGAUGAAUUUGAUGAACUAUUAUAUAUGAUGAACAUGAUGAACAGUUAUAUAUGAUGAAUUUGAUGAACCAUUACAUAUAAUGAACUUGUUGAACCAUUAUAUAUAAUGAUUUCAGUGACCCAUUGUAUACAAUGAAUCAGAUACACCAUUAUAUAUGACAAAUUUGAUGAACCAUUACAUAUGAUGAACCUGGUGAACUAUUACAUAUGGUAAACUUGAUAAUCCAUUAUACAUUCAUGAUGAAUUUGUUGAAUCUUGGUGAACCUGAUGAACUAUUACACAUAAUGAACCUGAUGAAAUAUUACAUAUGAUGAACCUGAUGAUCCAUUAUACAUUCAUGAUAAAUUUGUUGAAUCUUGGUGAACCUGGUGAACCAUCACAUAUAAUAAACUUGAUAAACUAUUAUAUAUGAUAAUCCUUAUGAUCCAUUAUACAUUCAUGAUGAAUUUGUUGAAUCUUGGUGAACCUGGUGAACUAUAAUGAACCUGAUAAAACAUUACAUAUGAUAAAUCUGAUAACCCAUUAUACAUUAAUGAUGAAUAUGUUGAACCACAGUGAACCUAAUGUACUCAAAUCAUCACAUAUGACAUAGUUGAGUCAUUAUAUCGGAUAAAUCUGAAGAAUUAUACCUGCCGAGCGAAAAAAGAAGUAUGUACCAUAGAAAUAAGGCUAAGCAAACAUUUCCCUUUUGAAUCAGGGACACGAAACAUCCAACGUUGCCGAAUUAAACUGUACUCACGCUACUUAAAGUCGUUAAUUAGGAUUAUACAUACAUAAUUAAACACAUACGGUGCCUAUACUAAUUUCUAGUUGCUCGUUAGUCGCACUGCCAAAGGAGCAAUUCAGCAGAAACAAAAAUUAGUAUUCUCCUGAAUGUCUCUUUUUAUCUGAAAGUAUUUUAAGCGAAUAGAGCUAAGUAGAUGAUUUAUAAGAGUAAAGUGUUAGAUAUUGUUAAGAAGCGGAAUUUUCCUAUUCGAAAGGGAAAAUUACUGUUAGAUACUUGCUGAGAACACUUUAACACUUUGAUUAAUUUUUUUUUUUAUAUUUAAGUAGCAUUGUAGCUGGAUAUUCGUAGAAGUAAGCACUUUAACACUUUGUCACUUUUGGGAAAUUGGGAUCGGUUAUAAUUGGUAAUUUAUAAUUGGUAGCUUAUUAUGGUUAUUGAUAUACAGGGUGUUCGGAUAGUGGUGGAAAUAAUUUCGGGGGGAGGUAGUUGAGGUGGUAGUGAACAACUUUUUCCUUUAACGAAAUGCUGACUGAAGCUUGGUUUUUAAAUUAUUAAGGAACAACAAUGGACCUAUCAGAGCGCGAGAAUAGCGCGCGCUUGGAC
RNAcentral lists this unclassified non-coding RNA (3989 nucleotides) under Megachile rotundata (alfalfa leafcutting bee). RNAcentral's name for it is "proton-coupled amino acid transporter 1-like, transcript variant X3". The record is from RNAcentral. Lineage: Eukaryota; Metazoa; Arthropoda; Insecta; Hymenoptera; Megachilidae.